RNAcentral lists this ribosomal RNA (492 nucleotides) under uncultured bacterium. Its description in RNAcentral is "partial 16S ribosomal RNA". It matches the Rfam family "Bacterial small subunit ribosomal RNA", at positions 29 to 507 of the family's 1533-position model. The record is from RNAcentral.
AGUGAACGCUGGCGGUAGGCCUAACACAUGCAAGUCGAACGGCAGCACAGUAAGAGCUUGCUCUUACGGGUGGCGAGUGGCGGACGGGUGAGGAAUACAUCGGAAUCUACUUUUUCGUGGGGGAUAACGUAGGGAAACUUACGCUAAUACCGCAUACGACCUACGGGUGAAAGCAGGGGAUCUUCUGACCUUGCGCGAUUGAAUGAGCCGAUGUCGGAUUAGCUAGUUGGCGGGGUAAAGGCCCACCAAGGCGACGAUCCGUAGCUGGUCUGAGAGGAUGAUCAGCCACACUGGAACUGAGACACGGUCCAGACUCCUACGGGAGGCAGCAGUGGGGAAUAUUGGACAAUGGGCGCAAGCCUGAUCCAGCCAUACCGCGUGAGUGAAGAAGGCCUUCGGGUUGUAAAGCCCUUUUGUUGGGAAAGAAAAGCAGCAGGUUAAUACCCCGCUGUUCUGACGGUACCCAAAGAAUAAGCACCGGCUAACUUCGUG